UAACUGACGUUGUUUUUUACUUUUUACUUUUUAAAAAAGACUAAAAACGUUUUGAUAUUAUACAAUGUAUUUGUUUCAGAUAAGGUCAUUGUCAUUUAGUAUAUAUAAUUAAUAUAUGUACAAGUUUAAGUAAAUUCCUGUGAGUAAAAAUGGACUUAUCACAAAACAUAGUUCUAAAGAAAGGUAUAUGCUCAUAUACACGGUGUCCAUUAAUUUAAUGGGAACUAGGUAUAACUUCAGGAGAAUUUGGCAAAUAAUUCAUUAAUCCAUGUAAAUAUUCAAAAGCUUGUUCUAUCCACAUUAUUUCAAGGGAUCACUUUAUUUUUCAUUAUACUUUCACAGCACUUUUCUAGUAAAUUCUGUAACACAGAAAUUCCAUUUUGGAAUCAUUUCAUGUUACCAAUAAUUCUAGACUUUUAUAACAUUUAACAUGUUGAUGGAAAUAGAUUACAUCUGCUAGAACCUUUUGCCUUAACUAUUCACCAAUAUAUGCUAAUAUUCAUAAAUAUGGAUUGACUGUUUACAAACAUUAGAAUCUUGUCUUGGUUCCAUUUUGAUGGCUAAUAUUUGUUAUCUUAAUUAAGACUAUUUCUGAGGUCAUGAUUACUUGAAAAUAUUGACUAAAACUGGGUCCUUAGAAAUUCCAGGUGGAGCUGAUUUACCUAUGACUGAGGGGAAAAAAAAAUCAAAUUUUACUGAUAAUAGUAAUGCUCCAAAUGAAUUAAUGACACAUCUGUUCAAUAAAUAAAGAGCUUAAAUAUACAAAACAUAAGAAAUCUGGGCAACAAAACUUGUGGUCUUUACUUUUGAAUAGCUACCCAAGAAAAGGUUUUAAAGGUAAAAGUUAUGAGUAAUGUCAUCACAAUAAGCUCUUGUUUAAAAUUCUUUUCUUUUAUGUAUAAUUAGGUUUAUGUUUCAUGUCUUUUUAAAACCUUAUAAAAGAUUUAAUUAUCACAUCUAUUCUUCAAUGUGGAAAUAUUAAAUAUUGUUGGUUGUAAAAUAA
This 1003-nucleotide long non-coding RNA is filed under the name Homo sapiens (human). RNAcentral's name for it is "non-protein coding lnc-FGL2-3:1". The record is from RNAcentral. Lineage: Eukaryota; Metazoa; Chordata; Mammalia; Primates; Hominidae.